CUUUUUCAGAUCUAGAUCCAAUUCUUGAAAAUUUUCUCUCACUUUUUUCUUGCAAAUUCUUCAAACACAACCCACUUUUCUUGAUCCAUUCAUCAUCUGUUAGCAUUUGUGAACAAGUUUGAAGGAAGAUCCAAAGGAAUUCGUGCAGUUUUGAAGCAGCUUGAAGCUUGAGUUCAUCCAUGGAAAAUCAAAAUUCUGGCCAAAUCGCGUGCAGUUGAGCUUCAAUUCUUCAUCCAAUUAAC
Molecule: long non-coding RNA, 242 nt
Filed under: Lathyrus oleraceus (garden pea)
Lineage: Eukaryota; Viridiplantae; Streptophyta; Magnoliopsida; Fabales; Fabaceae
Description: Pisum sativum (pea) long non-coding RNA (PSAT_LNC030291)
Source: RNAcentral